RNAcentral lists this transfer RNA (88 nucleotides) under Pleurotus eryngii. It matches the Rfam family "tRNA". From Rfam's summary of the family: Transfer RNA (tRNA) molecules are approximately 80 nucleotides in length. Their secondary structure includes four short double-helical elements and three loops (D, anti-codon, and T loops). Further hydrogen bonds mediate the characteristic L-shaped molecular structure. tRNAs have two regions of fundamental functional importance: the anti-codon, which is responsible for specific mRNA codon recognition, and the 3' end, to which the tRNAs corresponding amino acid is attached (by aminoacyl-tRNA synthetases). tRNAs cope with the degeneracy of the genetic code in two manners: having more than one tRNA (with a specific anti-codon) for a particular amino acid; and 'wobble' base-pairing, i.e. permitting non-standard base-pairing at the 3rd anti-codon position. The record is from Rfam by way of RNAcentral. Lineage: Eukaryota; Fungi; Basidiomycota; Agaricomycetes; Agaricales; Pleurotaceae.
GCCCGCCUAGCUCAAUCGGAUAGAGCGUCAGACUCUUACAUCAGGCGGGAUAAUCUGAAGGCUGCGAGUUCGACCCUCGCGGUGGGCU